GGGGUUGUGGCUCAGUGGUAGAGCGCUUGUCUCACACGUGUGGGGCCCUGGGUUCGAUCCUCAGCUCAGCACCA
Ictidomys tridecemlineatus (thirteen-lined ground squirrel) is the source of this 74-nucleotide non-coding RNA. The record is from Rfam. Lineage: Eukaryota; Metazoa; Chordata; Mammalia; Rodentia; Sciuridae.